This 253-nucleotide ribosomal RNA is filed under the name uncultured bacterium. RNAcentral's name for it is "partial 16S ribosomal RNA". It matches the Rfam family "Bacterial small subunit ribosomal RNA", at positions 524 to 776 of the family's 1533-position model. The record is from RNAcentral.
GACGAAGGGGGCUAGCGUUGUUCGGAAUUACUGGGCGUAAAGCGCGUGUAGGCGGUUGUUCAAGUCAGGUGUGAAAGCCUUGAGCUCAACUCAAGAAAUGCACUUGAUACUGGAUGACUAGAGGACCGGAGAGGAUAGUGGAAUUCCCAGUGUAGUGGUGAAAUGCGCAGAUAUCAGGAAGAACACCGAUGGCGAAGGCAGCUCUCUGGGACGGUACUGACGCUGAGACGCGAAAGCGUGGGGAGCGAACAGG